UUUUUCGCAGAUUUGGCAUGUGCGAAGCUGUGAAGCUUGCAGGUGGCGUGUAGGCUUUUGCCUUAGCCAAAAGUGACGUGUGUAUGAUCAAAACCAAGUCCUUUCGGUCGUUCUAAGGUCGUAAACUCCAUGACUAGUUAGCAAAAGCUCCCUGACAUGAACAUAAACUAACUCAGAUGACCUAGAGGAUCCGAUCAUGAUGAUAAUUUUCCAGCUUUGAUAAGUCUUCAACGUCUUUUGCAAGACGGCAAUUGGUUUAAUAGCGUAGGGGGAUCCAAAAUCAAAAGCUUUCGGUAACUCCAAGUCAGUAUGACCAGGCAUGUCCGUGGAGGGUCGGUAGUGCGAGGCACACUUAAAACCACUAUCUCCUUAAUUUCGGACAAUUCUAAGACAUCACACUGAGCUUGGAUGAGCCUAGUUGAACAAUUGAUGAUGAAAAAUCCGCUAUAGGGUAAAAGACUUAACCGGAAACACGUGGGCGAUCCUCCUUGAGGAUGCAGUGCCAAGAGUCACCUUCAAAGGAAGGGACCAAAAUCGGUACAAUAUGCCAUGUUUCUAAGGACGAUGUAAGUGUACAUCUUGAUUGUAAAUCAAUAUGAACCAUAAGAGGAGAAUAGUUUCACUUCGAAAAAAUUCUCAAGGCAUUCAUUAUUGCUAAUGUGAGUACAUCGAGGUCUCAAAUAGACAAAGGACGUCGAUACAACGCCUUAGUACAUAUAACUUGGAACGAAAAUCAAUGUCUAGUCGAUGACAUCAAAGUCAUGGGUAGCUAGAGCAGGAUCUGAAUCUUUGAUAUUCGCGAUCAUGAGGAUGACGUUCUUGUCCUCAUAUUGAUUUUCCAUACCUUUUUGUAUGCAUUCACAAUUUAAAGGAGCUUGACAAUCUUGAACCAGUGAUCCGAAGAUCCACAACGGUUGCAUUAAUGUCAUGAGCUGACGUGAGUAGUUUUGACAAAAUAGUGUCUAGACCGGGAGUGUCGCUAUUAGAGCCGGCAACACCUCCCCCUCUUUUCUAGACAUCGGCACGACGUUUUCUGCCGUUG
This 1042-nucleotide long non-coding RNA is filed under the name Fragaria vesca (wild strawberry). Its description in RNAcentral is "long non-coding RNA (FVES_LNC005028)". The record is from RNAcentral. Lineage: Eukaryota; Viridiplantae; Streptophyta; Magnoliopsida; Rosales; Rosaceae.